GUGGUGAAAAAGUUACCACAAUACGUGGGUCGUGUGAGAUCACAUUUUUCUUCACCAUUGAAGCUUCAUCAUUCAAUUCUUGUAGGGUUCUUGCUCCCAUCACAAUAUUCAUCAUCACCAUCAACAUCACAGCCACAAGGACUAACACACCAAAACCUAAUUUCUUUUUGUAGUUCAUCUUCAUACUUCUUUAAAAUCACUUCUUUAUUUGAGGAAACCCUUCUCCAACAUGUAAGCAAUACAUGUACACCUAUAUUUAGUCCUCUUCACUAUAUAACAAUAAACCACACAGAUUUCAACCAAAUAGUUUGAGGAAUGUUCAACCACCACUAAUUCUAUACCUGUCUUUUGCCUUUUUCUUACUUUUAGACUAUUUUGAGUAAAUUUUCAUCAACCAUAAUACUUGGUUCUUAUAUACUUCAAUAAUUUUAACAUUUAUUUUUUAUAAUUAAAUAAGAAGUAAUGUAAUUCAAGACAAACUAUAGAUAGGAGGAGCUACAUAUAUAUACUUUUCUUUUUUUAGAAUUUGUGUAAUUUUAGUUUUAGCAUAAAUGGAUAUGGUAUGUUAACUUUCUCUACCAUCAUCUCUAAACAAAUUGAAAAACGUUUUAUGUGAGAAUGAGGACAAACAACUGGUUUUUAGCAAUUAUAGAUUAAGAAAUGUUCAUUUACAGAAAUGGUUCAUUAAAACAAUGUUCAUUCCGAAAUGAAAGAAUGUCGAUUGUUUGGCGAUGAGUGUAUUUCUAACCACUUCAGAAAGACUUUAGGUUCACAAGGAAUUUUAACUGGCAGCCAAUCAAUAAUGAACUUAUAGAGCCACUAACGCCAAAAAAAUGCUUGUAAAUAUGACUUAAGAAAAAGCUGGUAUAUGCACUUCAAUUAGCCAAUCGAUAAUGAAGUUAUAGAGACGCUGAUGCUAAAGAAAAUGCUUGUAAAUAUGACUUAAGAAAAAGCUGGUAUAUGCAUUUCAAUUAGCCAAAAAUCAAAACAUCUUGAAAAUAUCAUCACUAAUAUCAUCACCAGUAUGUGUUAGAUAAGGAAAACUUACUAACAAUGAACCAAAACAAUUCUUCUUGUAACCUCUAUUCUCAAUCCAAUCACACUUAAACAAAACUACUUUAUAUCUAAAGAUAAAAUAGAGCCAGAAAUGGGUGAAUUCACCAUCUACAAGUCAAUUAAAAGACUAGAUUAGACCAUGCACUGAUCUUUUGAAACUUACUAAGUCACUUUAAUAAAAGCUUUAUAUGUACAUAUAUAUACAUAUAUAUAUUAAUAGAAAGUGAAUAUAACUUACAAGUACAGCUAGCAUCAAUGAGGGUCCAUUCCAAAUAGAUGUUGAAAUAGAAACCAAAUGUUAAAUAAAAAUUGGUUUCUAGCACUCACUGAUAGCUGGUAGCAUGUGAACCCAUCAUGCAUCGAACAACACACUGAAGAAGGAAAGCUGAACAAAAUAUAUACGAGAUUAUAUGCAUAUAUACACACGAACAGAAAAUUGUACAUCUCAGGGAGAGGCACAAAAUUCUUCUUUUCUCAGGGAAUAACCUGAAGUACUUUCAAGACAACUACUCCAGACCGAAGCAAAUUGAAUAUACAUCAUAUGAAUAAAUUACAUUUGACAGACCACUAAAAUUAAUGAAUAGCAGAUUAGAGGAGGCUUCCUUUUCUUGAUCUGGGCUGAGGUAAGUUAACAAAUAAGUAUCUUGAAAAGUUCCUAGAUGUCAUUAACUUCUAUUUGAACAAACCAUAAAUCAACUACAAAUUCUCAGUAGAAACUUCAAGCAGAUUCAACCAAAUUGACAAAAAAGCCAAACCCAAACAUAAACUAAAAAAAAAAAAAAAAAUCAGAAAUAAUCAGAGUAAAGCAACAUCACAUAAACUCAACAUCACACACGAAAGAGGAAACAACUAUGAGAAAAAAUUCUACAUAGCACCUGAAAUGAAAAACCAGAAGCUAUUAGAAAUCUCUACCUUGAUAUCCUGGUGCAGAUAAGUCAACGUUGAAGCUUGAAGCAACGAGAGAUAGUAGAAUUCAGGCAACAGAAGAGACCAUAGAAGCGUGAUGAAGGAGACUUAAAUAAUGGAGUUCGGCCACUGAUGAUUGAUGACGAUGAGGAAGGUCGUGUUGACGAGAGAUGAAAAGGAUGGAGUCAGGCUACUGAAUAGGAGAGAUGACGAUAAUGG
Molecule: long non-coding RNA, 2181 nt
Filed under: Carica papaya (papaya)
Lineage: Eukaryota; Viridiplantae; Streptophyta; Magnoliopsida; Brassicales; Caricaceae
Description: long non-coding RNA (CPAP_LNC012186)
Source: RNAcentral